AAUAGAUACCCCGGUAGUCCACGCCGUAAACGAUGGAUACUAGCUGUUUGAGCGCAAGUUUGAGUGGCUAAGCGAAAGUGAUAAGUAUCCCACCUGGGGAGUACGGGGCGCAAGCCUGAAACUCAAAGGAAUUGACGGGGGCCCGCACAAGCGGUGGAGCAUGUGGUUUAAUUCGAUGAUACGCGAGGAACCUUACCAGGGCUUAAAUGUAGAUUGACGUAUUUGGAAACAGAUAUUUCUUCGGACAAUUUACAAGGUGCUGCAUGGUUGUCGUCAGCUCGUGCCGUGAGGUGUCAGGUUAAGUCCUAUAACGAGCGCAACCCCUGUUGUUAGUUGCCAGCGAGUAAUGUCGGGAACUCUAGCAAGACUGCCAGUGUAAACUGUGAGGAAGGUGGGGAUGACGUCAAAUCAUCACGGCCCUUACGUCCUGGGCCACACACGUGCUACAAUGGCCGGUACAGAGAGCAGCCACUUAGCGAUAAGGAGCGAAUCUAUAAAGCCGGUCACAGUUCGGAUCGGAGUCUGCAACG
This 530-nucleotide ribosomal RNA is filed under the name uncultured bacterium. RNAcentral's name for it is "bacterial SSU rRNA". It matches the Rfam family "Bacterial small subunit ribosomal RNA", at positions 777 to 1312 of the family's 1533-position model. The record is from RNAcentral.